CCUACGGGUGGCAGCAGUGGGGAAUAUUGCACAAUGGGGGAAACCCUGAUGCAGCGACGCCGCGUGAAGGAAGAAGUAUUUCGGUAUGUAAACUUCUAUCAGCAGGGAAGAAAAUGACGGUACCUGACUAAGAAGCCCCGGCUAACUACGUGCCAGCAGCCGCGGUAAUACGUAGGGGGCAAGCGUUAUCCGGAUUUACUGGGUGUAAAGGGAGCGUAGGCGGUGCAGCAAGUCAGAAGUGAAAGCCCGGGGCUCAACUCCGGGACUGCUUUUGAAACUGUUGAACUAGAGUGCAGGAGAGGUAAGUGGAAUUCCUAGUGUAGCGGUGAAAUGCGUAGAUAUUAGGAGGAACACCAGUGGCGAAGGCGGCUUACUGGACUGUAAAUGACGCUGAGGCUCGAAAGCGUGGGGAGCAAACAGGAUUAGAUACCCGGGUAGUC
This 440-nucleotide ribosomal RNA is filed under the name uncultured bacterium. RNAcentral describes it as "partial 16S ribosomal RNA". It matches the Rfam family "Bacterial small subunit ribosomal RNA", at positions 338 to 795 of the family's 1533-position model. The record is from RNAcentral.